UCCUCGUGUAGCAUCAGAAGAUUUCAUAUUGGGUUAGCGACAACUAAUCAAUGAAAUUAAUGGAAUUUAUAUUCCACAUAGCUCCACAAAAAGGCAAGCCUCCUCUGCAACUUCACCUUCCCACCUAUCUCAUGCUCUGAAAUCAGAAUUCAUGUUUCUCUGAAGCAACCCAUCUCUCAGAAAAGAUAAAACCAGAAGAAGAAAACCCACCUCCAUUUCCUCUCCAAUGGCAGAACCAAGAAAUCCCAGAAAACCUAUCAAGAAAGCCCACCAGGAUCAGAACCUUCAACCCCAGAAGCCAAACGAAAAACCUCCUCCUUGGGCAGUUGUUAGGAAUCUUCUUACUUGUAAAUAUGUGCAACCAGUAGAGCAGCAAGCUGUGGUAGCAAACAGUAAGAGGUACAAGAAAAUGAGGUGUUCUGGUUCGCUUUGUAAUGAUACAAGAAUCAUGCAAAGGCCUGAUUCAUCUUUACCUGAAGAUUGUAAGAAAUGGGCUUCAAUCUGUUCUUCCACCAAUACUGCUUCUAGCAGAUCCAUGAAGGUUCCUCUGAACGAGAUCAAUGGAGUUGUUCCUACUCCCUCUUCUUCUUAUUCAUCCUCGUCUUUGUUCUCCUCUGGUUCUUCUGUUGGUGGGCCUUUCAGAGGAAUGCCUUUGAGGAGGCUUUCAGGUUGUUAUGAGUGUAGAACGGUUGUUGAUCCCAUUAAUGGAGUCCGAAAAGCUCCUGCUCUUAGAACUGUAGUUUGUUCUUGUCCCGAAUGUGGAGAGAUUUUCAGCAAAGCUGAGAAUUUGGAGGUCCAUCAAGCUGUUAGACAUGCGGUUUCUGAGCUGGGUCCUGAAGAUACUAGCAGAAACAUAGUAGAGAUCAUAUUUCAGUCAAGUUGGUUAAAGAAGCAAGCAGCAGUUUGCAAGAUAGACAGGAUUCUGAAAGUUCACAACAGCCAGAAAACCAUCACUAGAUUUGAAGAUUACAGAGAGUCCAUUAAAGCAAAAGCAAGCAAGCUUGCCAAGAAGCACCCCAGAUGUGUAGCAGAUGGCAACGAACUUCUGAGGUUCCAUUGCACAACCUUCGUCUGCUCAAUAGGCAUGAACGGGUCCUCCAAUCUGUGCAACUCAAUUCCCCAAUGCAACAUCUGCAACAUUAUAAGGAAUGGGUUCAAGGUCCCCACCGGCGACGCCGGAGCCGGGAUCUGCACCACGGCCACCAGUGGAAAAGCACACGACAAUGCUCAAAUUAAGUCGGAAGACGAUAAGCGAGCAAUGUUGGUUUGCCGGGUGAUCGCCGGCAGGGUUAAGAGGACCCAAGACACCAAUCCAGCAGAAGAGUUUGAUUCAGUCGCCGGUCCGACUGGAAUCUACUCAAAUUUGGAUGAACUGUAUGUGUUCAAUCCCAAGGCUAUAUUGCCAUGUUUUGUUGUAAUCUACAGAGGCUUUUAGUGGUUCCAUGGUUCCACUGAUCAGCCAUUGUUCCAUAUACAGAUUUGGUUUAAUUCGCUCUACUACAACACCAAAUGGGAGAAAGAGAUCUAGAGAGAGUAGUAGUGAACGAAGAACCACCGGAGAAAAUGGCGGAGGCGUAUAGGAUGAGACAAGAGGACAUGAAGGCUGCCAGGGCGGAGGCAUCUAAGAGGCCGUUCAGGCAGCAAGGAGGAGGCGCAGCUCACCCACGGUGCCCCUUAUCCUUCUCUCCGACGACCAUGGCUGCCGAGGGAUUUAUUUUAGUAGCUGCCGUCACUUACUUCACCUUGCAUGCUAAAAAGAAGCCUGAAGCUUCUGCCGUCAAUGUGGCCGCUAGGAAGGCCGACUUUGCCACCACCCAAGUGUGAGAGAGAGAUAUCUAAGGGUGGUUUUCAAUGAGAGAGAAACCACGAGCAAGAUGGAGGUUGAGACGGAGGAGAUGGAGAAAUGGAGAAGAGAGACGUUAGAGUGAAAAGAAUUUUAUUUAGGUGGUAGAAAGGGUAAGUUUUACAUCGAU
This is an RNA transcript of Nelumbo nucifera (sacred lotus), 1973 nucleotides long. RefSeq lists it as uncharacterized. The record is from RefSeq and is a predicted model, not a curated record. NCBI's taxonomy places the organism in Eukaryota, Viridiplantae, Streptophyta, Magnoliopsida, Proteales, Nelumbonaceae.